RNAcentral lists this transfer RNA (66 nucleotides) under Pseudoechthistatus chiangshunani. RNAcentral's name for it is "tRNA-Phe". Lineage: Eukaryota; Metazoa; Arthropoda; Insecta; Coleoptera; Cerambycidae. The record is from RNAcentral.
ACUUAAAUAGCUUAUAAGAGAGCAUAAUAUUGAAGAUAUUAAGGAAAUAAAAAUUAUUUUUAAGUA